GACGAACCGUGCGAACGUUAUUCGGAAUCACUGGGCUUAAAGCGCGUGUAGGCGGGACGGCACGUCCGACGCUGAAAUCCCCCGGCUCAACCGGGGAACGGGCGCGGAUACGACCGCCCUGGAGGGGCGUAGGGGGACCUGGAACUUCCGGUGGAGCGGUGAAAUGCGUUGAUAUCGGAAGGAACGCCGGUGGCGAAAGCGACGUACUGGACCUCUUCUGACGCUGAGGCGCGAAAGCUAGGGGAGCAAACGGG
RNAcentral lists this ribosomal RNA (254 nucleotides) under uncultured bacterium. RNAcentral describes it as "partial 16S ribosomal RNA". It matches the Rfam family "Bacterial small subunit ribosomal RNA", at positions 524 to 776 of the family's 1533-position model. The record is from RNAcentral.